UACGUAGGGGGCAAGCGUUGUCCGGAUUUAUUGGGCGUAAAGAGCGUGUAGGCGGCCAUGCAGGUCCGCUGUGAAAACUCGAGGCUUAACCUCGAGCUGUCGGCGGAAACCAUCUGGCUAGAGUCCGGAAGAGGAGAAUGGAAUUCCCGGUGUAGCGGUGAAAUGCGCAGAUAUCGGGAAGAACACCCGUGGCGAAGGCGGUUCUCUGGGACGGUACUGACGCUGAGACGCGAAAGCGUGGGGAGCGAACAGG
RNAcentral lists this ribosomal RNA (253 nucleotides) under uncultured bacterium. Its description in RNAcentral is "partial 16S ribosomal RNA". It matches the Rfam family "Bacterial small subunit ribosomal RNA", at positions 524 to 776 of the family's 1533-position model. The record is from RNAcentral.